Molecule: long non-coding RNA, 1033 nt
Filed under: Heterocephalus glaber (naked mole-rat)
Lineage: Eukaryota; Metazoa; Chordata; Mammalia; Rodentia; Bathyergidae
Description: lncRNA (ENSHGLG00000038785.1)
Source: RNAcentral
UCUGUUUUUACUGGUUUGUGCAGACCCCACUCCGUGUUGCUUCGUCAGCUUCGUGGGGUCUCCCUGCUGCCUGCUUUGUAAAAGGAAAUGGUUUCUGCCUCCAAUUCUCCUCAGCCGGAGUUCACAUUCUGUCUUAUUUUACAGGACAAGGUUCUUUAACUUUGUCAGGCACCUUUCCAAGCUCUCUUAUUUAUCAAGGUGAUGGCAUCUGUAGGCCGCGACUUCUAGGCUUUGCCCACAGUUGAAGUCGGCACAGCUGUGGUAACACUGUGAUGACAUAGGCAUAGCCACAUGGGUCCAUUGAAGGAAAUGUGCUUCCAGGACAUUAGACCCGGACCACGAAAGAAGGAAGACGGGAGCUCUGGGGUCCAAGAGAGUCUCCUUCUGGCUGUCCUAGGACAAAAUCACAGCAUUUUCGGUUCCAAGUUUAUCUUCCAUUGUAGAGAGUCUUGCAGCGCUAACCGUUCCACCAAAUGGAAUGAGUAUUCCGAUGGCCUGAGAAGAAGAGUUGGCUUUAUAAACAGAGAGAGGCCGAAGAAGGCAGAAACAAAGGCUGGAAAGCAGACUGGCCCUCUCCAAGCUACUUUCCUCGUAAGGCGGGCACAGGGCUCCAGAACAAUAGGCCCUGCACUGCCCGCCUCUCCCACGGCAGCCUGGCUUCCCUGUGGGGAGGCGCCCCGACCCCACUCGGCUGCGCGCCCAGGGCUGUUUUACACUGCGCUUGGCUCCUGGGAAGCUGCAUGGCGUCUCCCGAGCUGUUGAAGGAAGGAGUCACCCGCAGUCUCGGAACCCUCAGGGCCAACUUGGGAAGGACCAUACACCAUGAUCCUGUCAACCCCCUCAGCUGUCAAGGUAGCAGGCCUGGACUCCUGGGCACACCAUACUUGACUCAAGCCCUGAGAACCAGAGACUGUUGCUGAAUGUGAGCAACCACCUGAAUACUCCUGUGAACCCACAGGAGACUUACAGUUCUUUUUCAAGAGGAAAACAAAGUCUUCAGAUAAGUAGUCUAAGAUGUUACCCUAGCCUUGUA